This 429-nucleotide ribosomal RNA is filed under the name Actinomycetes bacterium. RNAcentral describes it as "Actinobacteria bacterium partial 16S ribosomal RNA". It matches the Rfam family "Bacterial small subunit ribosomal RNA", at positions 355 to 776 of the family's 1533-position model. Lineage: Bacteria; Bacillati; Actinomycetota; Actinomycetes. The record is from RNAcentral.
UAGGGAAUCUUCCGCAAUGGGCGAAAGCCUGACGGAGCAACGCCGCGUGAGUGAUGAAGGUCUUCGGAUCGUAAAACUCUGUUAUUAGGGAAGAACAAAUGUGUAAGUAACUAUGCACGUCUUGACGGUACCUAAUCAGAAAGCCACGGCUAACUACGUGCCAGCAGCCGCGGUAAUACGUAGGUGGCAAGCGUUAUCCGGAAUUAUUGGGCGUAAAGCGCGCGUAGGCGGUUUUUUAAGUCUGAUGUGAAAGCCCACGGCUCAACCGUGGAGGGUCAGUGGAAGCUGGAAAACUUGAGUGCAGAAGAGGAAAGUGGAAUUCCAUGUGUAGCGGUGAAAUGCGCAGAGAUAUGGAGGAACACCAGUGGCGAAGGCGACUUUCUGGUCUGUAACUGACGCUGAUGUGCGAAAGCGUGGGGAUCAAACAGG